UGCCAGCCGCCGCGGUAAUACGUACCGGACGAACGUUAUUCGGAUUUACUGGGCUUAAAGAGUACGUAGGCGGUCCUUCAGGUGGGGUGUGAAAGCCCUCGGCUCAACCGAGGAAGUGCAGUCGAAACUAUCAGACUUGAAUAUCGAAGAGGGUGGCGGAAUGCGCAGUGUAGAGGUGAAAUUCGUAGAUAUUGCGUAGAACACCAGUGGCGAAGGCGGCCACCUGGGAGAAUAUUGACGCUGAGACGCGAAAGCGUGGGGAGCAAACAGGAUUAGAUA
Molecule: ribosomal RNA, 279 nt
Filed under: uncultured bacterium
Lineage: Bacteria
Description: partial 16S ribosomal RNA
Rfam family: Bacterial small subunit ribosomal RNA
Source: RNAcentral